Molecule: ribosomal RNA, 253 nt
Filed under: uncultured bacterium
Lineage: Bacteria
Description: partial 16S ribosomal RNA
Rfam family: Bacterial small subunit ribosomal RNA
Source: RNAcentral
UACGGAGGGUGCAAGCGUUAAUCGGAAUUACUGGGCGUAAAGCGUGCGUAGGCGGUUCGUUAAGUCUGCUGUGAAAGCCCCGGGCUCAACCUGGGAAUGGCAGUGGAUACUGGCGAGCUAGAGUGUGAUAGAGGAUGGUGGAAUUCCCGGUGUAGCGGUGAAAUGCGUAGAGAUCGGGAGGAACAUCAGUGGCGAAGGCGGCCAUCUGGAUCAACACUGACGCUGAGGCACGAAAGCGUGGGGAGCAAACAGG